This is a long non-coding RNA of Musca domestica (house fly), 249 nucleotides long. RefSeq lists it as uncharacterized. NCBI's taxonomy places the organism in Eukaryota, Metazoa, Arthropoda, Insecta, Diptera, Muscidae. The transcript is spliced from 2 exons. The record is from RefSeq and is a predicted model, not a curated record.
CCUGUUGGUGAGCGAACGACAGACAUAUCGUAAGUGUCAGGGUUAUAUCGGGCUGGCGGAAUUCCUUGAGUGCUGCGUCCACUGGUUCUUCUGGUUAGAUCUUGGUUUUGUGGCAUAAAACCGGCAGAAUUUCUUGAAUACAGGAAUAAACCUAAACUCGGCUGGCUCCCAAAUGACAAGACUGGCAGGAUUUCGGCAAAAUAAAAAGCUGCGUUUAUUUGGUUUGUUUGUUUACAAAUAGUGAGUUUA